RNAcentral lists this ribosomal RNA (242 nucleotides) under uncultured bacterium. RNAcentral's name for it is "partial 16S ribosomal RNA". It matches the Rfam family "Bacterial small subunit ribosomal RNA", at positions 94 to 334 of the family's 1533-position model. The record is from RNAcentral.
CCGGGCGCACGGGUGAGUAACACGUAUCCAACCUGCCGUCUACUCUUGGCCAGCCUUCUGAAAGGAAGAUUAAUCCAGGAUGGGAUCAUGAGUUCACAUGUCCGCAUGAUUAAAGGUAUUUUCCGGUAGACGAUGGGGAUGCGUUCCAUUAGAUAGUAGGCGGGGUAACGGCCCACCUAGUCAACGAUGGAUAGGGGUUCUGAGAGGAAGGUCCCCCACAUUGGAACUGAGACACGGUCCAA